This 429-nucleotide ribosomal RNA is filed under the name uncultured Lactobacillus sp. RNAcentral describes it as "bacterial SSU rRNA". It matches the Rfam family "Bacterial small subunit ribosomal RNA", at positions 355 to 776 of the family's 1533-position model. Lineage: Bacteria; Bacillati; Bacillota; Bacilli; Lactobacillales; Lactobacillaceae. The record is from RNAcentral.
UAGGGAAUCUUCCACAAUGGACGAAAGUCUGAUGGAGCAACGCCGCGUGAGUGAAGAAGGGUUUCGGCUCGUAAAGCUCUGUUGGUAGUGAAGAAAGAUAGAGGUAGUAACUGGCCUUUAUUUGACGGUAAUUACUUAGAAAGUCACGGCUAACUACGUGCCAGCAGCCGCGGUAAUACGUAGGUGGCAAGCGUUGUCCGGAUUUAUUGGGCGUAAAGCGAGUGCAGGCGGUUCAAUAAGUCUGAUGUGAAAGCCUUCGGCUCAACCGGAGAAUUGCAUCGGAAACCGGGCGACUUGAGUGCAGAAGAGGACAGUGGAACUCCAUGUGUAGCGGUGGAAUGCGUAGAUAUAUGGAAGAACACCAGUGGCGAAGGCGGCUGUCUGGUCUGCAACUGACGCUGAGGCUCGAAAGCAUGGGUAGCGAACAGG